UCGUGUCGUGAGAUGUUGGGUUAAGUCCCGCAACGAGCGCAACCCUUGUCUUUAGUUGCCAGCACGUAAAGGUGGGAACUCUAGGGAGACUGCCGGUGACAAACCGGAGGAAGGUGGGGAUGACGUCAGGUCAUCAUGGCCCUUACGGCCAGGGCUACACACGUGCUACAAUGGCGCGCACAGAGGGCUGCAAACUCGCGAGGGUAAGCCAAUCUCUUAAAACGCGUCGUAGUCCGGAUCGCAGUCUGCAACCCGACUGCGUGAAGUCGGAAUCGCUAGUAAUCGCGAAUCAGAAUGUCGCGGUGAAUACGUUCCCGGGUCUUGUACACACCGAA
This 335-nucleotide ribosomal RNA is filed under the name uncultured Marinobacter sp. RNAcentral describes it as "bacterial SSU rRNA". It matches the Rfam family "Bacterial small subunit ribosomal RNA", at positions 1060 to 1394 of the family's 1533-position model. The record is from RNAcentral. Lineage: Bacteria; Pseudomonadati; Pseudomonadota; Gammaproteobacteria; Pseudomonadales; Marinobacteraceae.